RNAcentral lists this ribosomal RNA (375 nucleotides) under uncultured bacterium. RNAcentral's name for it is "bacterial SSU rRNA". It matches the Rfam family "Bacterial small subunit ribosomal RNA", at positions 524 to 898 of the family's 1533-position model. The record is from RNAcentral.
UACGUAGGUGGCAAGCGUUGUCCGGAAUUACUGGGUGUAAAGGGAGCGCAGGCGGGACUGCAAGUUGGAUGUGAAAUGUCGGGGCUUAACCUCGGAACUGCAUCCAAAACUGUAGUUCAUGAGUGGAGUAGAGGCAAGCGGAAUUCCGAGUGUAGCGGUGAAAUGCGUAGAUAUUCGGAGGAACACCAGUGGCGAAGGCGGCUUGCUGGGCUCUAACUGACGCUGAGGCUCGAAAGUGUGGGGAGCAAACAGGAUUAGAUACCCUGGUAGUCCACACUGUAAACGAUGAUUACUAGGUGUGGGAGGUCUGACCCCUUCCGUGCCGCAGUUAACGCAAUAAGUAAUCCACCUGGGGAGUACGACCGCAAGGUUGAA